UACGGGGGGGGUAAGCGUUGUUCGGAAUUACUGGGCGUAAAGGGCUCGUAGGCGGCCAACUAAGUCGGACGUGAAAUCCCCCGGCUUAACCUGGGAACUGCGUCUGAUACUGGACGGCUUGAGUUUGGGAGAGGGAUGCAGAAUUCCAGGUGUAGCGGUGAAAUGCGUAGAUAUCUGGAGGAAUACCGGUGGCGAAGGCGGCAUCCUGGACCAACACUGACGCUGAUGCGCGAAAGCUAGGGGAGCAAACGGG
RNAcentral lists this ribosomal RNA (253 nucleotides) under uncultured bacterium. Its description in RNAcentral is "partial 16S ribosomal RNA". It matches the Rfam family "Bacterial small subunit ribosomal RNA", at positions 524 to 776 of the family's 1533-position model. The record is from RNAcentral.